RNAcentral lists this ribosomal RNA (437 nucleotides) under Flavobacterium sp. WB4.4-80. RNAcentral's name for it is "bacterial SSU rRNA". It matches the Rfam family "Bacterial small subunit ribosomal RNA", at positions 16 to 455 of the family's 1533-position model. The record is from RNAcentral. Lineage: Bacteria; Pseudomonadati; Bacteroidota; Flavobacteriia; Flavobacteriales; Flavobacteriaceae.
AUCCUGGCUCAGGAUGUACGCUAGCGGCAGGCUUAACACAUGCAAGUCGAGGGGUAUAAGUCUUCGGAUUUAGAGACCGGCGCACGGGUGCGUAACGCGUAUGCAAUCUACCUUUUACAGAGGGAUAGCCCAGAGAAAUUUGGAUUAAUACCUCAUAGCAUAGCAGCUUCGCAUGAAGCCACUAUUAAAGUCACAACGGUAAAAGAUGAGCAUGCGUCCCAUUAGCUAGUUGGUAAGGUAACGGCUUACCAAGGCUACGAUGGGUAGGGGUCCUGAGAGGGAGAUCCCCCACACUGGUACUGAGACACGGACCAGACUCCUACGGGAGGCAGCAGUGAGGAAUAUUGGACAAUGGGCGCAAGCCUGAUCCAGCCAUGCCGCGUGCAGGAUGACGGUCCUAUGGAUUGUAAACUGCUUUUAUACGAGAAGAAACACUC